AGGCCAUGAUAUGUGCAAAGUCUCAUAAUAUUUUUGUACCUUUUCCAAGCUUCAAAGAGGGAUUCUCCAUCAGUUUGUCUAAAACAAGUGAUUUGAUUUCUUAAAACU
Molecule: small nucleolar RNA, 108 nt
Organism: Lathyrus oleraceus (garden pea)
Lineage: Eukaryota; Viridiplantae; Streptophyta; Magnoliopsida; Fabales; Fabaceae
Source: RefSeq, a predicted model, not a curated record